CAUGGUGGCUCAUGCCUGUAAUCCCAGCACUUUGGGAGGCCGAGAUGGGUAAUCACUUGAGGUCAGGAAUUCGAGACCACCCUGGCUAACACGGUGUAACCCUGUCUGUACUAAAAAUACAAAAAAUUAGCUGGGCGUGGUGGCGGGUGCCUAUAGUCCCUACUGCUCGGGAGGCUGAGGCCGGAGAAUGGCAUGAACCUGGGAGGUGGGACUUGCAGUGAGCUGAGAUUGCACCACUGCACUCCAGCCUGGGCGACAGAGCGAGACUUCGUCUCAAAAAAAAAUUAAUAGAAUAAAAAUAAAGGUAAUACCUACCUGUUAAAAGAAGUCAAAAGGCCAGGUGCAGUGGCUCACGCCUGUAAUCCCAACACUUUGGGAGGCUGAGGUGGGCAGAUCACUGGAGGUCAGGAGUUUGAGACCAGCCUGGCCAACAUGGUGAAACCCCAUGUCUAAAGAAAAACAAAAAAAAUUAGCCAGGCAUUAUGACGGGUGCCUGUAAUCCUAGCUACUUGGGAGGCUGAGGCGGGAGAAUCACUUGAACCCAGGAGGUGGAGGUUGCAGUAAGCCAAGAUUGCACCACUGCAUUCCAGCCUGGGUGACUGAGCAAGACUGUCUCAAAAAAACCCCCAAAAAACAAAAAUUAGCUGGGCGUGGUGAUGCAGGCCUGUAAUCCUAGCUACUGGGAAGGCUGAGGCAGGAGAAUCUCUUGAACCCAGGAGGUGGAGGUUGCAGUGAGCUGAGAUUGAGCCACUGCACUCCAGCCUGGGCAACAGAGUGAGACUCUGUCUCAAAAAACAAAACAAAAUGAAACAAAACAAAACAAGUCAAACAGUACAAGGAGUCUUCUCUUCUUCCUUCCAGUCCCACCCCUCUAUAAUGAAUGAGUGAUAAUGGUAACAGUUUGGUGGUCUCCUUCCUUUUUGAUGCUUAUACAAACAUGUUCAAAGAUAUAUGUGCAUAUAAGAUUCUUUCAAACACUGGAUCGUACUGUAAUAUAUUAAAAUAACAGACUCUUUUCACUUAACAUUUUUUCAUGGACAUCUGUCCAGAUCAAUCCAUUUAUAUAUAACUUAUUUUUUAUAGCUAUAUACUAGUAUCCUUAGAAUGGAUACAUUAUUUAUUCAGCUCACCUCCUUGUUUCAGAAAUUUAGGUUAUUUCUAGGUUUGUUUUUUACUACUUCAAACAAUGCUGCAAUAAACAUUCUUGUACAUCAAAUCUUUGUACCGAUGCUUUAAUUUCUAUGGAUGGGUUCCUAAAACUUUCUGUGUGGUGCAUGGACAAGCAGGG
Molecule: long non-coding RNA, 1288 nt
Filed under: Homo sapiens (human)
Lineage: Eukaryota; Metazoa; Chordata; Mammalia; Primates; Hominidae
Description: non-protein coding lnc-POLR2F-2:4
Source: RNAcentral